UGCAAGUCGAACGGUAGAGGGGGCAACCCCUUGAGAGUGGCGAACGGGUGAGUAAUAUAUCGGAACGUGCCCAGUCGUGGGGGAUAACGUAGUGAAAAUUACGCUAAUACCGCAUACGAUCUAAGGAUGAAAGCGGGGGAUCGCAAGACCUCGCGCGAUUGGAGCGGCCGAUAUCAGAUUAGGUAGUUGGUAGGGUAAAGGCCUACCAAGCCAACGAUCUGUAGCUGGUCUGAGAGGACGACCAGCCACACUGGAACUGAGACACGGUCCAGACUCCUACGGGAGGCAGCAGUGGGGAAUUUUGGACAAUGGGCGAAAGCCUGAUCCAGCCAUUCCGCGUGCAGGAUGAAGGCCCUCGGGUUGUAAACUGCUUUUGUACAGAACGAAAAGGUCUCUAUUAAUACUAGGGGCUCAUGACGGUACUGUAAGAAUAAGCACCGGCUAACUACGUGCCAGCAGCCGCGGUAAUACGUAGGGUGCAAGCGUUAAUCGGAAUUACUGGGCGUAAAGCGUGCGCAGGCGGUUAUAUAAGUCAGAUGUGAAAUCCCCGGGCUCAACCUGGGAACUGCAUUUGAGACUGUAUAGCUAGAGUACGGUAGAGGGGGAUGGAAUUCCGCGUGUAGCAGUGAAAUGCGUAGAUAUGCGGAGGAACACCGAUGGCGAAGGCAAUCCCCUGGACCUGUACUGACGCUCAUGCACG
Molecule: ribosomal RNA, 700 nt
Filed under: uncultured beta proteobacterium
Lineage: Bacteria; Pseudomonadati; Pseudomonadota; Betaproteobacteria
Description: bacterial SSU rRNA
Rfam family: Bacterial small subunit ribosomal RNA
Source: RNAcentral